UCCCCGGUAGCUCAACAGGUAGAGCGGCUGGCUGUUAACCAGUAGGUCGUAGGUUCGAGCCCUACCCGGGGAGCCA
This 76-nucleotide transfer RNA is filed under the name Candidatus Omnitrophota bacterium. Its description in RNAcentral is "tRNA-Asn". It matches the Rfam family "tRNA". Rfam says of the family: Transfer RNA (tRNA) molecules are approximately 80 nucleotides in length. Their secondary structure includes four short double-helical elements and three loops (D, anti-codon, and T loops). The record is from RNAcentral. Lineage: Bacteria; Pseudomonadati; Candidatus Omnitrophota.